Molecule: long non-coding RNA, 1822 nt
Organism: Coturnix japonica (Japanese quail)
Lineage: Eukaryota; Metazoa; Chordata; Aves; Galliformes; Phasianidae
Source: RefSeq, a predicted model, not a curated record
GCAUUGCACAAGGACUGCCUCACAUGGUCACCUUUUGUGUCCAACUCUGCUCUGAGGUCAGGCAGACCAGAUGACGGCUCCCUACAUCAGUGCUGGCACACAGUUAGGAUCAGUCUGCUUUAGUGGUGUGCUCUUUGUGUUAUAUUAGAGCACACCAUAAUUUUGCAGUAACCACUGUUAAGGAGCACCAUGCUAUUUACCUCUAUGGGCAGCAAUGCGGAGGCCCGGCACAUUGUGGCAUUUGGAAAAAGUGGAUAUUCAUGAAGUCUUUGAGAAGAACCACAAAUCCGUGCUUCAUGAAGAAUCUCUUAUGGUGUUUCUCUCAUGUUAUGAGACAGACAAGGACAAAGCCAGACCACUGGUUGUUUUGAAGCCACAUGUUUGUACUGUGACAGGCUGUACAACACGUGGUCACCCUCAUACCACAUUUUGAUGCUGACACCAGCAAGAUGUCAAAGCAAUCAAGGGCAGUGGAACCGACUGAUAACAGCAGAAUAUCAUCUCUAUACCAGAAUGUCUCUGCUUCAUUGUGUAUGGCAGGAGGAAAAGAAUCAGCACCAAUACCUCACUGGUCACCCUGAUGGGGGAGCCUCAUUUGAAAAUAAGCAGGCACUGAGAGGAUCAACAGAAAGGAGUGCCCAGCUCUGGCUGCUGUGGAGAUGAGGGGAGAGAUAAACAUCAUGCAGUUGCUUCAUAAAAAUAAGCUGGAUUCUUCAGAAAAGGAGUGGCCAACCACAGUAAACACAUUUACAUCGUGGUCUCCAGAGAAGUCCUCCUCAGAGUUCAGAGACUUCUGCAGUACUUUCAUUCCUUGCUGCUACUUGCUGAAUAUGAAAUCAUAAGGUGUUACUGUGUUUAAGGUUGUCAUGCAGAAAAGGAACUUCCCUGAAUCUGACACAUGAUGACAGUCACUCUUACAAACUUUGCAAAUUCCUGCAUGAAGAAUAAAGAUUGAGCAUGUGUACACAUGCUGUUUCUGCCAGGAGUCACCGAUGAGCUUCAUUGUGAAUCAUAACUGCUGACUCACUGUCAGGACCAUAAAUACUGUGGGUCAGCCACACAAUCUGGAAAUGGGAUAGAAGAAUAUCUCUUUGCAACAGGGGACUUGUAGAUUGCUGUCAGCAUCUUUCUGAAGUGGCUGAGCUUCUCAGCUUCUCUCUCACGUUACUGACUCAUGUCUGACAUGCUCAUCUUUGUUGCUAAGGGUUUACCACUGCAGGGAUGAGAUGGAUGAUGUCCUUCUAGCCCUUGCUUGCCCGCAGUGGCAGCCCAAGGGAUCACAGCUGUGCAAAGGUGCCAGGGUCCCCUGAGGACACACAGAAUUCAAUGGCCCUAUCAUUACAGACCUCAGCAUUAAGGAAGAGGCUGUAAGUAACUGCCCAUCUUCUGAGAGAGGCAAUCACAGUCUCUAUGACCUGUUUUCACCAUCAAUGAAAUGGCUGAAAAUAAAAGGGCUACCAUCUCUCUUUUCCUUAAGCUGAGAAUUAACUGAGACAAGGUGCUUUGGGUUCUCUGAGCUGCACUUUUAUACCACUAGGAUCUGGAUGCUCCAAGACUUGGGGAGCACAACUGUGAGAACGACUGUCCCAGAUCCAUAAUAUAUUGGACACUGAAUUUCAAUACUGAAAUUACAGGAGAUAACUUCGUCAAGAUGUUUUCCUUUCUUUGUCACAUCCCUGAAGUAAUCAAAUCCUUGGGAACACUGAUCUCAUACACUUGCUGCAGCUGAGUUGGUGCUGACAUUUUUCUGUUUCUGAGUCCUGGUCAGGAACCAGGCAGUUCUUAUGAAAGACUAUAAAAGCAUGGAGAGAAGUACUCUGUA